GCACACACACACACACUGUGACAAACUAAUAUGUCUACAGAUAUUUCCAGAUGCCUCCAGAAAGCUGAACCCACCCUGACUGGAUACCUCUGGCUGAAGAUAAUGAGCCAAAAAGAAACCUCUCAGGAGAUGUUAACUCCAGGAGUGAUGCAAAACACUGUUCAAGAGGCUUCUAGGAAGGAACUGCAGAGGAGGGAAAGAAAGGUGAAGAUAAAGCAGUGUCCUUCAUUGCGUGAGAGGAGACUUGGCACUUUUGUCACCUGGUAUGAACUUACAUUGGGACUUCUUUCCUGUGCAAUUAUUAAGGAAACUGCCUAACAUCGCUGCCAUUGCCUCUUUUCAUUUUGGGGUCUGCAAGCACUUGCCACUUAAACUCAGAUCAUGUUUUUGUGAGAGGCCACAGAGCGACUUUCUUUAAGGCUAUCAAAAGCCUUCCUCAUUAUCCUUUAUGGGCUGUGCAGAAAACAUCUCAACUAUUAGACAUUUAACUGGAGUGCAGUAGAAUGGGUUUGCUGGCCCCCUCCAGUUUGUGGGGUAAAAACUCUGUUCAUAAUCAGUUUCUAGUUUUUCAAAUGACCCUCAAGAGGUUCCUUCCGGUCCACUUCAGUUCUCUUUUUAGUGUCCCAUUGAUUUUCCAGACCUUAGGAACAUGUCUUUAAUCGCCUGCUUUCCAAUUGACUCUCUCCACUGAAUGCUAAAGGAGCACAUCGUUACUCUGUACAUUGAGACAGGAAUAUGGUGAAGACUAACACACGAUUUGUAACAGUACAGUUUACAAUAACAGUUCCUGCAGAGAGAAAGUGUCUCUCUCAGAAAGAGGAGGGCAAUUUCUGCACCCAGUUUAUUUUUGUAACUACAAGCAACACCUUUGAUUCUUGUCAAUAAAGAGGGAGACAAAAUAGAGAAACAAUCAUAAUACAUAAAUGAUAUUAUUUGUCCUCUGAGUACAUACUGAUAUAAUUCACUCAAAGAGCUCAAAUGAAUUGUGAAUGGCAGGAAGGUGCAAGAGGUAACUUCAGUGCAGAUAAUCCACACUGCUAUUUCAUGAAUGAACUCAGAGAAGCCACACAAAGUAUGUGAUAAAAAUGCAAAGGAUAUAAUUUUCUUUUGAUUUCUCCUCUGUUCUGUCUUAUUUUAAAUGAUGUUACAACACUGGGA
RNAcentral lists this long non-coding RNA (1158 nucleotides) under Cavia porcellus (domestic guinea pig). Its description in RNAcentral is "lncRNA (ENSCPOG00000037572.1)". Lineage: Eukaryota; Metazoa; Chordata; Mammalia; Rodentia; Caviidae. The record is from RNAcentral.